ACAUGACAAGUCAGCAGAGACAAUCGAACAAGGAGGAAUGGAAACCAAUCAGAAGAGAGAGAGAGCUACAACUAGAAAGAAACCAAUUUUUCUCCAGGAGAUGACAUGGCCUCUCCCAAUCUCAUGACACCACAUUGGCAGAUCUUAUGGUGACUAUUCCAGAAUAUCAUAUAGUUGAUUCAGGGGAGCUCCUAUUUUCACUCAGAUAGAUCUCAUGUCUACUAGGUAGAACUAAUAAUUAUACAGUGACCAACACCAUGAACUGUCAGGUAGACCACAUCAUAACCAUUCAAAUAUACUACACUAUGACCUCUCAAAUAGACCACAUUAUGACCUCUCAGAUAGACCACAUCAUGAUCUCUCAGAUAGUCUACAUCAUGACGUCUCAGAUAGACCGCAUCAUGACCUCUCAGAUAGACCAAAUCUUGACCUCUCAGUAAGACCACACCAUGACCUCUCAGGUAAACCACACCAUGACUAGUCAGACCACUUCCUGACCGCUCAGGUAGACCACUUCCUGACCUCUCAGGUAGACCAAUUCCUGACCUCUCAGGUAGACCACGUCCUGACCUCUCAGGUAGACCAUACCAUGACUAGUCAGCUAGAUCAUUUCCUGACCUCUCAGGUGGGCAACUUCAUGACUACUCAGGUAGACCACAUCAAAACCAUGCAGGUAGGCUUCAAUAUAGCGACUCAGAUAGAUAUCAUCUUACUCAUACAGAGAGAGUUGUUCCUAACUACUCAGGGAUAGCUGAUCCUGGCCACACAGAGAGAGAUAAUCAAGCCCAAAGAGGGAGAGCUCAUGAUAACCAUACAGGGUUAGCUCAUCACAACCAUGACGGCAGAUCUCAUCAUGAACACUCAGGGAGACCUUAUCAUGGCCAUGCAAUGAGAGCUCAUAACAACCAGUCAUGGAGAGAUCUUACCCAGUCAUGGAGAGGUCGGAACAACCAGUCAUAGAGAGGUCAUGACAACCAGUCACAGAGAGGUCAUGACAACCAGUCACGUAGAGGUCAUAAUAAUCAGUCAUGGAGAGCUCAUAACAUCCGGUCACGGAGAGAUCGUUAUGACACCUCAUUGAGAUCAAGUAGCAUCCAGUCAUGGAUGCUUCAUGAAGGAGAAAGAUUCCAUGGUCCAAGAGGAAGAAAUGGACCAAGGGAUGCAUCACCACCCGGAACUGAGCCAGAAAUUGACAG
Molecule: long non-coding RNA, 1196 nt
Filed under: Mus musculus (house mouse)
Lineage: Eukaryota; Metazoa; Chordata; Mammalia; Rodentia; Muridae
Description: long non-coding RNA chrX:149162649-149163845
Source: RNAcentral